RNAcentral lists this unclassified non-coding RNA (253 nucleotides) under uncultured Gaiellales bacterium. Its description in RNAcentral is "contains 16S-23S intergenic spacer region". It matches the Rfam family "Bacterial small subunit ribosomal RNA", at positions 524 to 776 of the family's 1533-position model. The record is from RNAcentral. Lineage: Bacteria; Bacillati; Actinomycetota; Thermoleophilia; Gaiellales.
UACGUAGGGGGCAAGCGUUGUCCGGAAUCAUUGGGCGUAAAGAGCGUGUAGGCGGACCGGAAGGUCUGGUGUGAAAGCCCGGGGCUCAACCCCGGAACUGCACUGGAAACCAUCGGUCUUGAGUCCGGAAGAGGGAAGUGGAAUUCCUGGUGUAGCGGUGGAAUGCGCAGAUAUCAGGAGGAACACCAAAGGCGAAGGCAGCUUCCUGGGACGUGACUGACGCUGAGACGCGAAAGCGUGGGGAGCAAACAGG